AGAGUUUGAUCCUGGCUCAGGACGAACGCUGGCGGCGUGCCUAAUACAUGCAAGUCGAGCGGAGCUUAUCCUUCGGGGUAAGCUUAGCGGCGGACGGGUGAGUAACACGUAGGCAACCUGCCCCUUAGUCUGGGAUAACUACCGGAAACGGUAGCUAAUACCGGAUAAUUUCUCUUUUCGCAUGAGAAGAGAAUGAAAGGCGGAGCAAUCUGCUGGUAAGGGAUGGGCCUGCGGCGCAUUAGCUAGUUGGUGGGGUAACGGCUCACCAAGGCGACGAUGCGUAGCCGACCUGAGAGGGUGAACGGCCACACUGGGACUGAGACACGGCCCAGACUCCUACGGGAGGCAGCAGUAGGGAAUCUUCCGCAAUGGGCGAAAGCCUGACGGAGCAACGCCGCGUGAGUGAUGAAGGUUUUCGGAUCGUAAAGCUCUGUUGCCAGGGAAGAACGUCCGGUAGAGUAACUGCUACCGGAGUGACGGUACCUGAGAAGAAAGCCCCGGCUAACUACGUGCCAGCAGCCGCGGUAAUACGUAGGGGGCAAGCGUUGUCCGGAAUUAUUGGGCGUAAAGCGCGCGCAGGCGGCUAUUUAAGUCUGGUGUUUAAACCUUGGGCUCAACCUGAGGUCGCACUGGAAACUGGGUGGCUUGAGUACAGAAGAGGAAAGUGGAAUUCCACGUGUAGCGGUGAAAUGCGUAGAGAUGUGGAGGAACACCAGUGGCGAAGGCGACUUUCUG
RNAcentral lists this ribosomal RNA (735 nucleotides) under uncultured bacterium. RNAcentral's name for it is "bacterial SSU rRNA". It matches the Rfam family "Bacterial small subunit ribosomal RNA", at positions 8 to 731 of the family's 1533-position model. The record is from RNAcentral.